This 465-nucleotide ribosomal RNA is filed under the name uncultured bacterium. Its description in RNAcentral is "partial 16S ribosomal RNA". It matches the Rfam family "Bacterial small subunit ribosomal RNA", at positions 28 to 507 of the family's 1533-position model. The record is from RNAcentral.
GAUGAACGCUGGCGGCGUGCUUAACACAUGCAAGUCGAACGGAAAGGCUCCUGCUUGCAGGGGUACUCGAGUGGCGAACGGGUGAGUAACACGUGGGUGAUCUGCCCUGCACUUCGGGAUAAGCCUGGGAAACUGGGUCUAAUACCGGAUAGGACGAUGGUUUGGAUGCCAUUGUGGAAAGUUUUUCGGUGUGGGAUGAGCUCGCGGCCUAUCAGCUUGUUGGUGGGGUAAUGGCCUACCAAGGCGUCGACGGGUAGCCGGCCUGAGAGGGUGUACGGCCACAUUGGGACUGAGAUACGGCCCAGACUCCUACGGGAGGCAGCAGUGGGGAAUAUUGCACAAUGGGCGAAAGCCUGAUGCAGCGACGCCGCGUGAGGGAUGACGGCCUUCGGGUUGUAAACCUCUUUCAGCAGGGAAGAAGCGAAAGUGACGGUACCUGCAGAAGAAGCACCGGCUAACUACGUG